AUUUGCAGUCAGAGAGUGAAAGGGGGGGGCAUAGCUAAAGAGAACCUAGCACACAAGGUAACACCCUCCCCUGUUUUGGUGGCUUUUAAAAUGUGGUUUAAAGGACUUGCUGUACCUUAAAUCCCCCAUUUUGCUAUCAGCCUCACCAUGUUAGCAAGCCUGAAUGUCUUUUGUCAUGUAACAACAGCAACUUUUUAAAAAAGAUGUCAGCACUGAGAGGAAGGAAAGAGAAAAAAAGGCAAGUCCACUAAGUCAGGUUGGAUACUUUUACUGCCUAUCUGUUUCACCCAGUCUCUCUCUCCCCCCCUUUGUAUGCAUUUGUGUAUUGACUCCAUCAGAGUUUUUGCCCUUCGCAGGGCUGCUCACAAAGCCCCCUUCCUCCCACUGCUUCCUCCAUGCUUUUGCACCCAUUUAUUUAUUGUGUCAGAAGUGAACCGAGGUUGUAAUGUAUUGGGAAAAUUAUUUAUUUAUUUAUUUAUGUGUGUUUUAGCAGCCAAUGUAUUUCCAUUCUUCAGACACAUUCCAGUCACCCUUGGAGAUUAUGUUUCAGAGAACAAUAAUGACUGCUGCCUUCCAACAUGAUGUUUUAAAAAUAAUCGUCUCGGAGUAAUAUUUAUUUUAAUAACUGCUAUUUUUCCUGCCUUAAACCUACAAGGCGAUAGACGUUAUUGGCCUAAUUUUGUAUUUACAUGAAGUAAUCGGUCAGGGAACUCUCGUGGGUGGAAGAAGUGGUUUUCCUCACAGCAGCUGCAUCAAAAAAGGGGAUUGAGGAGGGGGAGGAAAGGAGAGAAACCAUUAGAACACUUUGCCUCACGUUUCCUCUUUGGCCACAUAGGUUCGCCAAAAGUAUUGGCCCCUUGGUAUCCAGGUCACAUUCCUCAGGCAAACUCAAACAUGGGAGAGAAACUUAAUAAGCAAACACUUUCAAAACCCUUUACAGAUCUCUUGGGAAAUGUCCUUUCUUGGUUAAGGAAUAAAUAUGAAUAUAUUUGCUGGUUUGGAAUAAUUGUCCAGAUCGGUGUAAUCUAGCACUUUGCAAUUCACGCUUUGUACAUCUCUCUCCCACAGUCUGAGACCUGUUUCCUUUCUGCCAGUACCUUAAUAUCUGCUUUGCCCAGGAGUCUGCUGAUGAAGACUUCCUGUUUGUUUUGAGUCACUGCUGGAGUGAUAAAUAUACUUUCUCCUUUAAGAGGAAAGAAACCAGCUGCCCUGAACCAAGAGACAAAAUAUGUAGAAAUUCCACCCAAUGGCCCUCUUAUCAUAGAGCCUUUAUAGAGCCCUACAAAAUAAGCAAUAAAAAAGCUACGACACAGGAAACUGUUUACGCGUUAAAACAUCCCCAAACAUGAAUAGACAUUCGUUGCUUUGCUUUUAAUCCCCUGCCUGUAAUUUUUAAAUAAUCCUGGGACAAAUAAAUACAUCUGACCAAAAAAAAGUCUAGAAACGCAUGCCUCAGUGUAAUACUUGGCUAAAUAAACAAACUGUUUUAGUUGUGGUUUCGUGAUCUGACCACAAGCUUUAAAUCCUGUUUGAGUAUAACUUGGUUUUGCAUGAAACUCUAAUGCUUCUGGAUAAAUGUAUGUUUAUGUUGUCAGCAGCGUCCAGUGUGCUGCUGGGUAAUUUUCCCAUGUAAUUUCUAUUUCCAGAAGAUACGAUAAACCCUCAAAGAUUAAAAAAACACCUUUGGAUAAUUUUAAAAUAAAAAGUGUAUUCAUGGAGCUGUUCAUAUUUCACUUCCUAAUUUUCAAAGAAUGCAGCAGUAUCCUUUGGCCUUAUCUUUUCAUCUCUUUUCAUUAUCUCUUUUCCUACAUACAGAGUCCAAAGGAUAAUCCUGCUCCCAGUCCCAAGAGCAAGGUUCACAUACAAAUCUCUAGUCCCUAACUGUUUUGUGCAGUAUUCAAAAAUUUAUACUCAGGAAUAUCAGAUUCCCUUAUGGUGGGAGAUUACCAAGAUGGCCAUAGUUACCAUAUCAACAGUAAUAGUAAUUCUGGGUUAAAUUGAAAAAGAAUUGAUGCUUUUUGCAUGAGAAGAAAAGACAAAAAAGAGGAUUGUGAUAGAGAUAUAUAUAAUAAUAUGUAUUUCACAAAGAAUAUGGAUAAGGAGAACUUUCCCUCUGUCUUUUGUAAUACUUAAACCUGGGAUCAUCCCCCCAAGAUGAAUGGUAGGAAACCAGACUAAUCAGACAAAAGAGCUAUACAUUUUGGUUUAAAUAUAGGUACAGUAGAUUCUCACUUAUCCAACACUCGCUUAUCCAACAUUCUGGAUUAUCCAACGCAUUUUGUAGUCAAGGUUUUCAAUAUAUCAUGAUAUUUUGGUGCUAAAUUCGUAAAUACAGUAAUUACUACGUAGCAUUACUGCCUAUUGAACUACUUUUUCUGUCAAAUUUGUUGUAUAACAUGAUGUUUUGGUACUUAAUUUGUAAAAUCAUAACCUAUUUUGAUGUUUAAUAGGCUUUUUCUUAAUCUCUCCUUAUUAUCCCACAUAUUCACUUAUCCAACAUUCUGCUGGCCCAUUUAUGUGGAUAAGUGAGACUCUACUGUACUUAAACCUGGGAUCAUCCCCCCAAGAUGAAACCAGACUAAUCAGACAAAAGAGCUAUACAUUUUGGUUUAAAUAUAGGUACUUAGAAAUCCAUAAAAAUAUUUUCUCAAAGACUCAAUUGUCUUUCAGAUAACAGGAAUUGCCUGAAACAGUAUCUUCAAAGGAGAAAUCAAAUGCUUCAUCUAAAAGUAAAGAAAGAAUGCAUCUUCCUCUUUCAGAACAAAUACUGGAUUCAUAUUUUGUUCAUAUGCAAAUCUCUAAUCAAUGAUAAUUUUGCAGUGUUGGGUGGCAACUGCUCUUGCAGUUACCUUGCCCAAAGUGGAAAAUUUGAUAUUGGUCUACAAUCCAGGGAGUCUAGAGAAGUCUUUCCCCUCUAGAACAGUGGUUCUUGUGGGUCCCCAGAUGUUUUGGCCUUAAACUCCCAGAAAUCCCAACAGCUGGUAAACUGGCUGGGAUUUCUGGGAGUUGUAGGCCAAAACACUUAGGGACCCACAGGUUGAGAACAACAGCUAUACAAUUUCUUCUUUUCAAUGCAAUGGAAGAUUUCUGUCUCUGAAAGAUGCAUCAGUGAUAUGUUGCAAUUGAGAUCUAACUGCAUAUCUUCCCUGGACAACCAGCCAAGAUGGACAGGGAUUGAGAGGACAAGUAGCCCGCUUUAUUCUUCCUAGCCAUUGGUCCACAUCUGCGGUAUUUAUCUGAUGUAAUCUUACUUAUGGAUUUGCUGAAUACCGUCCUGUUAGCUUCUCUGACAAUAAUGACAAUGUCUAAAUUGCGUCUUAACUGAGAGAUUUGUAUCUAUAAAAUGACCAUUAAAAGCAUAAUAGUAAACUGGAGAAGGUUCUAGAACUGGAUUUGGGGGAAGGUGUCUGAGUUAGACCUCCCAUCACUCAGAAUAGUUUGGCUGGAGGUGAAUUUGAAGACACUUUCUUCACUACUCAUAUUGCAAUGAAGCAAAGAUGUUUUCUAUAUCAUGUCCUCCAUCAAUGCUCAAGUCAUUAUCCUUAUAGUUUCAGCGUUCUCAGAUCUUCUGUAUAUAAAGGAGCUCAAUUAUUAACAUGUUGGAGAGGAUGUUUGGGAACGAUUGUGUCAAUAUCUUGACUCAGGCCUUGAUUUCAUCUACUGAGCAGGCCUGGUUGUUGUAUGGUUGGAACAGAAUUCUGCAAAAACCAAAAACCUAAGUUGUGGUGGUAUAAAACUGCUGGUGCUGUCAUAAUUUACGAACAAGUGGCCAGUUCUCAUUUAAUGUAUGCCUUGGGUUCCUCUAGACAUAUUUCUGAGAUUUUUAGUUUAGGGAUUUCUUCAUCUGAAUUAGAAUCUU
Molecule: long non-coding RNA, 3859 nt
Filed under: Anolis carolinensis (green anole)
Lineage: Eukaryota; Metazoa; Chordata; Lepidosauria; Squamata; Anolidae
Description: lncRNA (ENSACAG00000040126.1)
Source: RNAcentral